GGUGUUGGGGCGUAGGAGAAGGAGGUCCGGGCAGCGAGGGCAGAUAAGGCGUGAAGGCUAGGUCUAGUGUCUAAUACGAGUAAGUAGCGGUGCGACGACGCGGCAGCGGCUAGAUCGUGAGACACAACCGGAAGUUGUUGGCGUGUGGUCCUGUUCCCCUCCGAGUGGUCGCCGCCGCUUCCAACGACGACAUCCAAGGACCUACAGAAGAAAGUAGUGUUGCUGUUGUUCUGGGAGCAAUGAGAGUGUACCUUCCAUCGUUCCAUAGAUUGAGGACAGCUCGAACAUGACUCCGUAAAACAAGGAGAACCAAAUCAGUACGAAGAAGUAAAGGUCGUGUUACCGGUGACUUUACGUCGGAGAUCCCAGUGUAGAGUAGGGGUAGUUGAGUUUAGUUUUGUCUUCCUCGUCUGUUUUGUCUCGACAUCCUCGAUCCGAAGGUGGCGUCGACCGCACGCACCUCCCGUUUCCGGUUCGGUUUUCCGUACACGCCACGUUGCCCAUCUUUUAAUUAUUUAUAUACGAACGUUUGAACUUUUUAUUAAAUGGUGGGUUUGUUGAAACCUUCAUCUUUUGUUAUAACCUUCAUGAGUUUCAUCCACAUGUAGUCGAGGUCUUGGUCGAGAAGGUUUUAUAAUAGAAAACAGUAAGGUGUAGGGACGGACGG
Molecule: ribosomal RNA, 667 nt
Filed under: Triticum aestivum (bread wheat)
Lineage: Eukaryota; Viridiplantae; Streptophyta; Magnoliopsida; Poales; Poaceae
Description: partial small subunit ribosomal RNA
Source: RNAcentral